AGAGUUUGAUCCUGGCUCAGGAUGAACGCUGGCGGCGUGCCUAAUACAUGCAAGUCGAGCGAACGGACGAGAAGCUUGCUUCUCUGAUGUUAGCGGCGGACGGGUGAGUAACACGUGGAUAACCUACCUAUAAGACUGGGAUAACUUCGGGAAACCGGAGCUAAUACCGGAUAAUAUUUUGAACCGCAUGGUUCAAAAGUGAAAGACGGUCUUGCUGUCACUUAUAGAUGGAUCCGCGCUGCAUUAGCUAGUUGGUAAGGUAACGGCUUACCAAGGCAACGAUGCAUAGCCGACCUGAGAGGGUGAUCGGCCACACUGGAACUGAGACACGGUCCAGACUCCUACGGGAGGCAGCAGUAGGGAAUCUUCCGCAAUGGGCGAAAGCCUGACGGAGCAACGCCGCGUGAGUGAUGAAGGUCUUCGGAUCGUAAAACUCUGUUAUUAGGGAAGAACAUAUGUGUAAGUAACUGUGCACAUCUUGACGGUACCUAAUCAGAAAGCCACGGCUAACUACGUGCCAGCAGCCGCGGUAAUACGUAGGUGGCAAGCGUUAUCCGGAAUUAUUGGGCGUAAAGCGCGCGUAGGCGGUUUUUUAAGUCUGAUGUGAAAGCCCACGGCUCAACCGUGGAGGGUCAUUGGAAACUGGAAAACUUGAGUGCAGAAGAGGAAAGUGGAAUUCCAUGUGUAGCGGUGAAAUGCGCAGAGAUAUGGAGGAACACCAGUGGCGAAGGCGACUUUCUGGUCUGUAACUGACGCUGAUGUGCGAAAGCGUGGGGAUCAAACAGGAUUAGAUACCCUGGUAGUCCACGCCGUAAACGAUGAGUGCUAAGUGUUAGGGGGUUUCCGCCCCUUAGUGCUGCAGCUAACGCAUUAAGCACUCCGCCUGGGGAGUACGACCGCAAGGUUGAAACUCAAAGGAAUUGACGGGGACCCGCACAAGCGGUGGAGCAUGUGGUUUAAUUCGAAGCAACGCGAAGAACCUUACCAAAUCUUGACAUCCUUUGACAACUCUA
Molecule: ribosomal RNA, 1013 nt
Filed under: Staphylococcus aureus H42737
Lineage: Bacteria; Bacillati; Bacillota; Bacilli; Caryophanales; Staphylococcaceae
Description: bacterial SSU rRNA
Rfam family: Bacterial small subunit ribosomal RNA
Source: RNAcentral